This 425-nucleotide long non-coding RNA is filed under the name Carassius auratus (goldfish). Its description in RNAcentral is "lncRNA (ENSCARG00000011871.1)". Lineage: Eukaryota; Metazoa; Chordata; Actinopteri; Cypriniformes; Cyprinidae. The record is from RNAcentral.
AUGCAGGGAGAGGGCAAUAAGAGAGCACAGAGAGGAGCAGAGGAGAAGCAGACUGUGAAGGCCCGGCUCCUGUCUUCACAGAUGCUCCUGGUGGAUGCUCUUUAUCACUUGAGCCCUCUGCUAGACUGUGUUAUAUCUGCAGGUCUGCUCUCUAGAGAAAACUGUUAUGAAAUUGAAGCUGAACGAACGCCACCCAACAAAGUCCGAAAGCUUCUAGAGAUUAUUGACGCUCAGAUGGAUGAAAGUGGAGCCUCUAGUUUCAUGGAGUGUCUGAGAAAAUGCAAGAAACAUUACCCGCGUCUACGAACCUGGUUAACCUCAGAGGAAGAUCACUUCCAACCAACAGGCAUUACGCAAGGUCCAACAGGUAAUACCGUCUCAGCGUUUUCAUGUUUACUUAAUGUAAUUGUCUGCCAGCCCUCACC